UCCUUCUUUCCAGAAUUUUGUUUCAGCCCCAACCCUAAAUAUGAACUUUUGAUUUUGCGCCACCGUAAAUCACAACCAUCAACCGCCAUCUUAUUUGUUCGUGGUGGUCAUCCGACGACUAUUCUCCAUUUUCCAUUGUUGUGGUGUUUGAUAAAAAGAUUGAAAGAUUUGAAGCUACCUCCCUGUUUGAUACUCAAAUUGCUGAACCCGUUCAGACUUUGAAGGAAUAUUUGAAAACCUACAAGGAACAAUUCACAUCAGUAUUAGCAUUUUGUCCAACAGCAUUGAUCCAAUUGACAUAGAUGAUCCUAUUUUUCCAACAUAUAAUGUAGAGAGAAAUUGCUUCAGAUUCCAUCAAUGUAUUAAGAGCAUAGAGCGUACCAGUGGAAGAUGAGCAAUCUCCAUCUUGAUUACUACUUUGACACACUGUUAUCAAGGGGAAAACUUUACAUUAGAAGAUGAUCAUUACUUUGAAAAUUAAAAUUAUCUUGAUGGUCUUACAAGAUAAUAUAGAGAAAGAACAAAGAUGAAUUCAAUGUGUUGGCUAUCUCAUUAAAUUUUGUAAUAUAAACUUAUUUUGAAUGUUUACACAGUAUUAAAUCUAUAAAUUUAUUAAAAUUGUUUCAAAAGACUAGAAAAUAUUUCUGGCCCUAAAAAUGUGGCCAACCCAAUAACCCGCAUCAACCGCUUAGAUGUACCCGCAACCCGACAAGACCCAACCCGCGAAAACCGAUUUUAAAUUGGGCGGAAAUGGGUCUUUCAAAGUCAACCGCGGUUUGGGUUGGGUGGAACUUUUGAGCCCGAACCCGCCCAACCCGGCCCGUUGUCCACCCCUAGUAAUUUAUAUAGCAAUUGCAGUACAGUACUAACCAUAUGAAAAUGGAAGCGGAUUCACUGACUUUUACGCGGGAGAGUUAGGUGACUUUCAGCUAAUUUCAACGGUCCCAUCAAUCCAUUGUUCCAUAUCUUGCCACAUAUUCUGCUUCUUUUAAAUUAAUUUUGAAAACAAAACUUAAGCAAACAAAAUAAUGUUUAUGUUAAAAAUAAAGCAUCAUCAACACUGAUCAAACCUCUGUUUCUUGCCGUCAACCCCGGUAUUUUCGUCACCGGCUGCAACUAUUGGUCUUCUAUUAAUUUCACAUUUGAUCAUGGUAGAAAGUUGAGUAUAGUUUUUCUUUAUAAAAAAAUUGGAUGUUUAAUUUAUGAAUAUGAUUUCUGUAAAAAAACAAUUUUAUUGAAAUAAAAAAAGUCAACCGUUUUUUAAGGCUGAAGCAGAUAAAAAUGAAGAAAAUAAAUGCCAAAAAAAUUAGAGAUGGAUGUCGGUGGCAUGUUCCUAGCGCAACCAAGAUGAGCAGGCCGAAGGUUAAGGAGGUGCAAAGGCGGCUGAAAACUGAAAGAUUCCAUGAGCGACAACAACCGGAAGUUGAAGGAGGAUCAAAGCGGUGGAAAAUUGAAAGCGGCAAUGAGCGACGAGAACCGAAGGUUGAAGGAGGUGCAAAGCGGUGGGAAAUUGAAAGCAGUUAUUAGUGACGAUGAGCGAAGAUUGAAAGAGGUGCAAGGGCGGUGGAAAAUUGAAAGUGGCGAUGAGUGACGGCGAGCGAAGGGUGAAGGAGAUGCAAAAGCAAUGGAAAUUGAAAGCGACGAGAUGAGAGGUUGAAGAUGCAUGCAAUACUUUCCUUACUUUAAUUUUUUUUUUUAACUUUGAAACUCAAGUUACUUUUUAAAAUGAAAACAAAUUAUAAAGCACAAGUGUGAUGAUAUCAUACACAUGAUUAAUCAAACGAUUAAUCAAAC
Molecule: long non-coding RNA, 1794 nt
Organism: Vicia villosa (hairy vetch)
Lineage: Eukaryota; Viridiplantae; Streptophyta; Magnoliopsida; Fabales; Fabaceae
Exons: 5
Source: RefSeq, a predicted model, not a curated record